RNAcentral lists this long non-coding RNA (2362 nucleotides) under Cucumis sativus (cucumber). RNAcentral describes it as "long non-coding RNA (CSAT_LNC002257)". The record is from RNAcentral. Lineage: Eukaryota; Viridiplantae; Streptophyta; Magnoliopsida; Cucurbitales; Cucurbitaceae.
GUCAUUAGGCAACUAGACAAGGAUGAUGUGAUAAAAGGAGUAAAUUCUAUUUAUGCUUUGUUAAACUUCUCAUGAUAUGCAUAUAAUACAAGUUUUCCUCUCUAUCAUCCAGCUGCAAGCAAAGAGAGGUUUUCUGAAAAGUUCAGAAUCGAGCACAAGGAAUUAAUGUUCCUAUUGAACCUCUCAUGUAGCUAAACCCUCACCACAUUUUCAAAAUCUCGCAUAAAAGAGGCGUACAACAAGGACAGCUAGGCGACGAAAGAAAUUUUUAUGUGAUCAAGGGGGAGGAGAGUAUUGUCACCCCACGAACGGAUCAUGUGAUAUGAAGACACUAUGCAUUAAACUGAGAAGGCAUUGAAACUUCCUUCCCUCGAAGGAAAGUGAUGACAUUUUGUUAUCCUUAUAGUGAAUCGGUGAUUGAUUUGACUCUAUCGUCCAAUCAAUGAUAGAAUAAGGAAGUGACAGUAGCACGUGGCAUUUUGAUAUUUGAGGAUCUCCACCGCCAGCCAGAGGUAAUCAUUUUAGCAAAGAAAAAAUCACCAAAAAAAGGACUUGAAAUAAAGGAAUUUCGCUCAAUUGAUGAAGUUAGUUCACCAAAGAAAGAUUAAGGAAAACCACGAAUUUUCUAUCAAUUAUCACCCUGCCAAGAUUGUGAAAAGUUCCGUGGGAUUUUGAAAGCAUGGGCUAUUUUAGAAGACAACUCUCCAAUGAACACAUGGUUUAUCUAGAAAUGUUUGCAAAUCUUUUAGAUUCUAGUCAAAUUCUGGAAUUUCAAAUACAUUUAUACUUUGAGUCUUGAACCAUGAAUUUCCUAUCAUAAAAUCUUGAACUAUAUGUUGCUUAUGAUAUCUCAUAUAUUUUUAAUUUGUGAAAUAGUACUUUUAUGAAUUAUGAUAUGAUAAAAUGAUUUUUUACCUUAUAUAAUGAAAAUACUUUAUCCCCACAGUGUGAUUUGGAUAAAAUGCCCUAUUCUUGCUAUGUGAUCUAUAAGAUGUCUCAUAAUUGAUACGUGAUCUAGUAUGGAAUAAAAGUUGCUUGUUGUUUGAUCUAACAUUGGUGGACAUACCUUGUAUUAUAGUUAUAAUAAGAUAUCAAUUUUGAUCUAACAUUGGUGGACGUACCUUGUUUGAUCUAACAAUGAUACCAAUUCCCUGUUUUCGACCAUAAAUUACCCAGAAAACCUAUUAUUUUGCUUAUACUUGGACAAGCAAUAUGAAAACUUGUAUUCAACAAGGACUUAGUAAGAAUGCGAUGAAGAGAGACACAGUGAGCAUCUUACAUGGAAUGAUCAUGACCAAUGACUCACUGAAUAGAGUUAGAUAUAGACAUACACAACACUGCACAAUAGAUUCAAAUCUAUCACACCACGGGGUCCCUUGUUCAAGACUUAGAUUCAGUCUUUAAGGGAACAACCUAUCUACUGACCUUAAAGCGGGUAGGAGAAAAUUUCAUCUUGCACUCUAUGUCCCUAUCCAUCCAUCUGGUCUUGCCCUUGAAAUGGGAGGCUCAUUAGCCUAACGGUAUUGAGCUACCCUCACUAAUGCAGAUCUAAGGAUAAUUCCCUAUGAACAGAAGUUCAUAGUUAACUCAGGAAUAAGAUUAAGUUACCUAUGUCAUCAAUAAUCGAAAUAGUCAAUUUUAUAUAGUCGACGAUGUUAUAACUUGAAAGUGAUCAUUUCAUGAUUCCAAUCUUAUGUAAACUGUUUACAUAUGAUGCCCCCAAGUUCCAUGUCUCUAUAUGAAUUAUUCAGAAUCACAUCGUUGAUACUAACUACAAAGCAUACCGCAUCUAUAGCGUGCUCGGAAUAAAGCGCUCACUCUUAUUCAUACACUAUAUAUCGUUUGGGUUAUAUACUCAAACUUAGUCCAUGUUUAUGUCUCUACAUAAAGUUCAAGUCUACACUAGUUAACUUCGAAACCUUAGUUUACUGUCUUCAAGAUUAUAGUAUUCAAUUUUCAUUAAUAAGUCUUCAAUAGCCACUUUAUUGAAUAUAAUAUAAUUUUAAACUAAUAACUAUGAGUUUUAGAACAUAAAUUCCAACAAUAAAUACAAAGGCUACCUCCUCAGAACAAAGUGUGCGAGAAUCUGAAGAACAAGUUCAACUUCAUCCCAUACCUCCCUUCUAUGUUUUUGGUGAGCUUUAAGAAUAGUUGAGAGGAAUCCAUACCCCACUCUCCCUUCAAUGUAAUAGGCAAAAAUUGGAGCUACUACACAGAGGUUCGACCUCUUUGUUUAUACUUUCACUUUUAUCUUCUUUUUAUUUUGUAUUUGUAAUUUGAACCCCUUGACCAAAAGGCCUAAAUUUUUAUUAUAAAUGUCAAUUACUACUACUUUCAUUUUCCCAUUUUUUUUAUCUCUUCA